Molecule: ribosomal RNA, 253 nt
Filed under: uncultured bacterium
Lineage: Bacteria
Description: partial 16S ribosomal RNA
Rfam family: Bacterial small subunit ribosomal RNA
Source: RNAcentral
GACGAACCGUCCGAACGUUAUUCGGAAUCACUGGGCUUAAAGGGUGCGUAGGCGGCGCGGAAAGUUGGGUGUGAAAUCCCUCGGCUCAACCGAGGAACUGCGCCCAAAACUACCGUGCUCGAGGGAGAUAGAGGUGAGCGGAACUUAGGGUGGAGCGGUGAAAUGCGUUGAUAUCCUAAGGAACACCGGUGGCGAAAGCGGCUCACUGGAUCUCUUCUGACGCUGAGGAACGAAAGCCAGGGGAGCAAACGGG